CACACUAUACAAACACACAUGGGCCUGUCGUCUGCUAGAAAGCACGAAGAUUCCCACCGAAGGCGGUUAGCAGUACGCUUUACGCAAGGCCUUCAUUUCGUGGAAAUUACGUAUGCACAAAUACGCAUGCGUAGCUGCGCCGUUAUAAAUGUAGGCGCUUGAACAUGAUAGUCGGCAGGUAAAAUACACCUUUUAAAAUGUUCAUCGCUGAACUUGGCCUUGGACGCAACGAUGUAAAAGUAUGUCUACAGAAUGCCUCUUUCCUCAUGAGCAAUUGCAAUUGCACGGGAAUAAAGGGCAUGCACAAAAAUUUGUGGAAAGAACGCAUUGGUAUUCCCGUGUCACAUGUUGCCUGAUUGCGCAAGCAGUCUGCCAUGGAUCCCAUAGUUUGUUUGGGUGCUUGUGCUGCGUUUAUUGUGAUGAAAAGACGACAAGAAGAAAAAACAAAGGCGACUAUAGAAAUGGUUCAACCUGACUUUCUACAGUGAAUGAUGGUCUUACUGCAACAGCUAUCCAGCACUUACGAGUUGUUGCUGGAAUGGAUGUCCAAUCUUGAACCACAAAAGGAAAACAUCUAAGAAAACUUUAAGAUCUUGCCACCAUCAUUUCUACCUUCCAACCAGAAUAGAGAAGCCUCGCCAAAUUAUAUUUCCCGACUGAAGAAACUUUCCAUCACGCACUGAUUAUCGGGUGAUGUCGCAGACAAAGCUUUUCUUAUUGCAGGUAUUGGUGUGGAAGUGUUUAAACUAAUUCAAAAGAAAUAGAUCACAUGAUCCUUUCAUAUUCAGAAAUUAAGGUUAGUGUCACAUUUUGGAGCACAAGUGCAAUGUUUCUGAACCAGGGAUAAAUUUUUUGGAGGCUUUUAAGGAACCAAAUCAAGGUUAGCAGGUAACAAUGAAUGGACACUACAAUUGCAAGACUUAACUAGAUAUUUGCAAGUUUCCAUGUGAAAGUGACAUGUAACAAGUCUUACACUGCUUCUCUCAAUUGUAAUAUGCUUUUUAUGCACUCGACUGAUAUUACCUUUAACAUGGCCACAUUAACAACGGCUAGUGUAAGCAGGUGCACUUUAAUAUGGAGACAGUUGUGUGCUUACAGUGCAUAAGCAGCCCACAUAGCCAAGCUCUGAAUACUUUUCUUUUGAAACUCACAAUGUUUUUAUGCUAUAAAACAGAUCACAAAUCUGAAUUGGCUUUUGCCUGUUCUCAACUUGCAAACAAAAUCAUUCCCAUCUUUUCCGAGGUCUUCCAGUAUCUCUUUUCCCAUUCAUUCUGUAGUUCAGGACCUUAUGUUCUCAUGGAGUGUUAUCUCCGAUUUUCAUGAUACUGACAAAAGUUUUUCAUAACAAAAUUCAGAUGUCUACAAUGAACACGAGCAAUUCAGUAGAUUUUUGUGGACAAAAAAAAAUAAAGUGAAUGCUGUCUUUUUCAGUAAAUGACAAUGCUUUAGCUAUGACACUGAAGAGUUAAUAAAGUGCCAUUAAAAAUUUCAAACUGAUAAAGGCUCUGCAAUUUCUAUAGUUGAUCUACAGACAUACAAGAAAUUAGGCUCACCAAAGUUAACUGAAUUUCACAUUUUGAUAUUUAUCAACAGACACCAGCAAAUAUGGAUCAAAGGUCAAUUCAUUUGGAUGUUGCAUUAAGCAGUUUACCAGACAGGACAGAUUUAUAGUAAUAUAUUCACGUAUAGCAGCAGAUUUACUGGUUCUAACACACUAGUAUUCACAAUUCAUGAAGGAGUGAAGGAGAUUCCCACUUACGUUCCUACUGGAUAGUUGCAAACAUCUUUGCAAAAAUAUGAUACAAUUUUUUUUGGAGGCAACUUUAGUAUUGAAGACUUCAAUGUGCACAUCGUUAUGAAGCCAAAUGCUAUGCCAAAAUUCUGCAAAACACAUAAUAUUCCAUUUGCAUUAAAGGACAAAGUGAAACAGGAGCUUGAGUAUCUGUAACAGAAUGUCAUUAUAGAAUCAAUUACUGGUAGCCGAAAGGCAACACUGCAUGGCACAUUAUUGAUCUGUGGUGAUUUCAAAGUGACUGUCAGAGUACAAUCGGUUAAUAGAUUCCUAUCAAAUUCCAAAACUAGAAGACUUAGUGUCUGAAUUAGCUGGCAGUGUAUGUAUAUUUUGCAAAACUUGAUUUGAAGGAAGCCACUUACAAAUACCUUUGGAUGAAGGAACACACAGAUUUUUGGAUAUAAAUACUACAUUUGGAGUUUAACAGUACAUGAGAUUGCCAUUUGGGAUUGUCAGUGAACAAAGUUUGUUCCAGCAAUACUUGGAACAGUUAAUUAGGAAAUGCAGUAAUGCUGUGAACUACCUGGAUGACAUCAUUCUCUCAGGAAAAAGCUCCAGGAGGACUGUUAUGUAAUAUGGAAUAUGUCUUUAAGGUUGUAUGAGCAGCAAGUUUAAAGUGUAACAAAGAAAAGGACAUGGUAUUCCACUAGCAAGUCCAAUAUUUAGGACACACCGAAACAAUGAAAAACUUGUAAGCUCGCAAUUAUCUUGAGGAAUCCAGUGAAGGAGUCCCUGAUUUCAAAAUUAAAUAGCUCGUAAACUAAGAUCAACAGAAGUGUGGUACAAAUGGUAUGGUUAUUGUGAAAGCUGUAAGAAUUUGAUACAGAAGUUUCAAAAUAGUUAAAAAAAAAAAAAAAAAAAAAAAACGCAAUACAUUAUGCCUGAAAAUAGUGUACCACUGAUCAGAGCAAUCAGUUCCACCAUUGAAGUGGUUGUUGUACCAGAGGAAAAGGUUGAAAUCAGUGGUCCAUUGAACAUCAUCUUUCUUUGGUACUGGAAUACCACAGGUUAAAAUACACUCCUGUAGCAACGAACCACAGUUUUCAAAUAAGAUUUAAUGUCCAAAGAUUUAAUGAAAAUCAUUCACAAGCUCAUCACCAAAUUCCAACUGAAAGGAAGUGUGGCUGAUGAUCUAGCAGGGAAUAAUGACCCCACACAAACUGUCAUUAUCCCUGAAAAUGCUGCCACGAUUUGCUUGUUUAGCAAAAUCCAAGGAGAUCCAUCUAAAGAACUGCAGCAGAGACUAGUUUGAAGCAUUUAGCACACACAAAAUAUUGAGCCUACAUGUUUCCAUUCAAAAUCUAAAGCCACCAAGCCAUACGCAUACAAGCUGUACAACAUUGGGCUGACUUUGUCAAACAGAUUCUCACUCUGGUCGACAGCUGAAGCACAUUUCCACUUGGAGUCGUGAAUAAACAAAACUGGCUAUUUCAUUGAUCUGAAAAUCCCACGUGCAUGAAGAAAAAUUGCUGUAUUCUCCCAAAGUUACUGUUUGGGCUGUGGUAUGCAAACUAUCACUAGUGAAUGUUACACUGCAAUUUUGUAGUUACCACACAGCUAGCAUUGAAGGAUCAACCAAGCACCAAGUGGUUCAUGCCAGGUGGGAACCACAUCGCCACAUCGGAGCGAACAGGUGUUUUGCUUUCUUGAUAAAUUCUUUGAAAAUAGUCAUUGCAUUGGAUUAUUGUAAAUUUACUGGUUCAGGAAUGGAUUGGCCUUAAUUUUUACCUGAUCUGACUCCCUGUGACUACUUUUUGCAGGGCACAUUGAAAGACAUUGUCUACUGGAACCACCCCACCACACUGGAUGAGCUGGUAUUGGCAGUCUGUGUGGCUUCUGAAUCCAUUUCCAUUGAGAUACUACAAGAUGUGAUGGCAAAUUGCAUUGUUCGUUUGCACCACCUGUGUACUUACUGCUAGUGAUGGGUGUUUUGAAAAGCUUGUGAUGCGGCUGGAAUGGCGGCUUGCUGAGGACAAGUUUAAUUACGUUUGCUGGUACUAUUUGGGGUUAGCAGCUUUUCAAACUAUUUUAGAACUUCUGUAUAAAAUUCUUGCAGUUUUCAGAGUAAACAUAACUUUUGUUGCUCUCGUCUAUCAAUCUUGAAAUCAGGGACUCCUCAGGUGGACACCCUCUGUGUGCUGUAGUAGUUAAAAUUAAUUGCUACAGAAAGUUCGUUCCACAUGUAGCAUUCAUAAGCAAACCACUUUCCAAACUAUUAUGCAAAGGCACAAAAUAGAUUUUGAACGACGUUAUGCCAAAGUACAGUUGAUAAAUUAAAACAAUGUUUGUUAAAUGCCAAAUGUCUCAUGACAUAUUGUCCAAAUAAUGUAUUAACUAUUGCAUCAGAUACAUUUGAGUAUGGAAUCGGUUUAGUUUUGUCACAUUGUCAAAUGUCCGAGCAUGUUCAUGUCCAAAACAGUGACAGUUGCUCAGAAACAUUACUUUCAGAUUGAAAAGGAAGUUCUUGCAGUUAUCUUUGCUGUUAACAAGUUCAGGAAUACAUAUAAAGCUGAAGAUAAAUUCUCCUUGUGCACCACAAACCACUGGUGGCAACUUUUGGACCAAAUAAUACUUUUCCUUCCAGGACAGUCCAAAACUUGCACAGUGGGAACUGCUUUUGCUAUACUAUGACUAUGAAGUAGUUUUCAUGUUCACAGCUCAAAACACUAAUGAAGAUUUGCUACCCAGCUGCCUAGGGCAGGAUAAAAAUUUUGGAUCUUCUUCUGUUGUAUGUUUUGGAUUAAAUUAAAUCAUCAAGAAAC
Long non-coding RNA from Schistocerca gregaria, 4554 nucleotides. RefSeq lists it as uncharacterized. The transcript is spliced from 3 exons. The record is from RefSeq and is a predicted model, not a curated record. NCBI's taxonomy places the organism in Eukaryota, Metazoa, Arthropoda, Insecta, Orthoptera, Acrididae.